Molecule: ribosomal RNA, 253 nt
Filed under: uncultured bacterium
Lineage: Bacteria
Description: partial 16S ribosomal RNA
Rfam family: Bacterial small subunit ribosomal RNA
Source: RNAcentral
UACGUAGGGGGCAAGCGUUGUCCGGAUUUAUUGGGCGUAAAGAGCGUGUAGGCGGCCAGGUAGGUCUGCUGUGAAAACUCGAGGCUUAACCUCGAGAUGUCGGCGGAAACCAUCUGGCUAGAGUCCGGAAGAGGAGAAUGGAAUUCCCGGUGUAGCGGUGAAAUGCGCAGAUAUCGGGAAGAACACCCGUGGCGAAAGCGGCUCUCUGGAACGGUACUGACGCUGAGACGCGAAAGCGUGGGGAGCGAACAGG